UACGUAGGGGGCAAGCGUUGUCCGGAAUUAUUGGGCGUAAAGAGCUCGUAGGCGGUCUGUUGCGUCCGCUGUGAAAACUCGGGGCUUAACCCCGAGCCUGCAGUGGAUACGGGCAGACUAGAGGUAGGUAGGGGAGAAUGGAAUUCCCGGUGUAGCGGUGAAAUGCGCAGAUAUCGGGAGGAACACCGGUGGCGAAGGCGGUUCUCUGGGCCUGACCUGACGCUGAGGAGCGAAAGCGUGGGGAGCGAACAGG
RNAcentral lists this ribosomal RNA (253 nucleotides) under uncultured bacterium. RNAcentral describes it as "partial 16S ribosomal RNA". It matches the Rfam family "Bacterial small subunit ribosomal RNA", at positions 524 to 776 of the family's 1533-position model. The record is from RNAcentral.